Molecule: ribosomal RNA, 497 nt
Filed under: uncultured bacterium
Lineage: Bacteria
Description: partial 16S ribosomal RNA
Rfam family: Bacterial small subunit ribosomal RNA
Source: RNAcentral
GAUGAACGCUGGCGGCGUGCCUAAUACAUGCAAGUCGAGCGAACAGACGAGGAGCUUGCUCCUCUGACGUUAGCGGCGGACGGGUGAGUAACACGUGGAUAACCUACCUAUAAGACUGGGAUAACUUCGGGAAACCGGAGCUAAUACCGGAUAAUAUAUUGAACCGCAUGGUUCAAUAGUGAAAGACGGUUUUGCUGUCACUUAUAGAUGGAUCCGCGCCGCAUUAGCUAGCUGGUAAGGUAACGGCUUACCAAGGCGACGAUGCGUAGCCGACCUGAGAGGGUGAUCGGCCACACUGGAACUGAGACACGGUCCAGACUCCUACGGGAGGCAGCAGUAGGGAAUCUUCCGCAAUGGGCGAGAGCCUGACGGAGCAACGCCGCGUGAGUGAUGAAGGUCUUCGGAUCGUAAAACUCUGUUAUUAGGGAAGAACAAAUGUGUAAGUAACUAUGCACGUCUUGACGGUACCUAAUCAGAAAGCCACGGCUAACUACGUG